GACAGAGGGUGCAAACGUUGUUCGGAUUUACUGGGCGUAAAGCGCGUGUAGGCGGCCUUGCAAGUCGGAUGUGAAAGCCCACGGCUCAACCGUGGAAGUGCAUCCGAAACUGCAUAGCUUGAGUCUCGGAGAGGAAGGUGGAAUGCUUGGUGUAGAGGUGAAAUUCGUAGAUAUCAAGCAGAACACCUGCGGCGAAGGCGGCCUUCUGGACGAUGACUGACGCUGAGACGCGAAAGCGUGGGGAGCAAACAGGAUUAGAUACCCUGGUAGUCCACGCCGUAAACGAUGAGUGCUAGGUGUCACGGGCUUUGACCCUCGUGGUGCCGUAGCUAACGCAAUAAGCACUCCGCCUGGGGAGUACGGCCGCAAGGCUAAA
Molecule: ribosomal RNA, 376 nt
Filed under: uncultured bacterium
Lineage: Bacteria
Description: bacterial SSU rRNA
Rfam family: Bacterial small subunit ribosomal RNA
Source: RNAcentral